UUAGUCUCGCACAGAUGCAUAUCAAUAAGCGGAGGAAAAGAAACUAACAAGGAUUCCCUCAGUAACGGCGAGUGAAGCGGGAAGAGCUCAAAUUUGAAAUCUUGAAAGGUCACCUUUCACGAAUUGUAGUUUAAAGAAGUGUUUUCUGUUACGAUCGUAAUAUAAGUUCUUUGGAAUAGGACAUCACAGAGGGUGAGAAUCCCGUCUAUGAUUGCGAUUUGUAGCUUUGUGAUACACUUUCAAAGAGUCGGAUUGUUUGGGAAUGCAGUCCAAAAUGGGUGGUAAAUUUCUUCUAAGGCUAAAUAUUGGCGAGAGACCGAUAGCGAACAAGUACCGUGAGGGAAAGAUGAAAAGAACUUUGAAAAGAGAGUUAAAUAGUACGUGAAAUUGUCAAAAGGGAAGCGUUUAACACCAGUGUUGUUUUCUGAAAAUCAACCUCUGUUAGCUUUAUGCAUGUUUGUUUAGACCUAAUCAGCUAUCUUGCAUGUUCUAUUGUUUGCAGUGGUGCACUUUUCAGUUUACAGGUCAACAUCAGCUUUUUUUUACCGUAAAAAAGUUAAAGAAAGGUAGCUCAUGGCUCCGGUCGUGAGUGUUAUAGUCUUUUUCCUAUGCGGUAGGAGAGACUGAGGUCUGCAGUGUAGGCUAUUUGGCUAGAUACUCAGGUGCUAUGUGAUACCAUUUCAUAAACAACUUGUUGAUUAUGUUUUGUCUAUUGCAUACUCGCUUGUACUAUCAUACCUACGCUUAGGAUGUUGAGUCGUAGAGCACGCAG
RNAcentral lists this ribosomal RNA (772 nucleotides) under uncultured Neocallimastigales. RNAcentral's name for it is "partial large subunit ribosomal RNA". It matches the Rfam family "Eukaryotic large subunit ribosomal RNA", at positions 24 to 628 of the family's 3401-position model. Lineage: Eukaryota; Fungi; Neocallimastigomycota; Neocallimastigomycetes; Neocallimastigales. The record is from RNAcentral.